GUGCUGAGGAUCGAACCCGGUGCCUCACCAUGCUAGGUGAGUGCUCUACUACUGAAGCACAACACCAGCCCAAUGGACUAAGUUAACCCUGAAUAAAGAGGAGUGAAGAUGGCCACUGUUGGUGUAGCUUCAUAGCUGUCCUGCAGUGUUCUCUGAAUCAAGGAAAGAAUCAUUCAGGCACAUAAGACCACCAGUAUCACAAGAUGGCAGCCAUUGAUUUGUCCCAUGGUCUUUUGUAGAGGGACCCAGUUUGCCUUCAUGAAGAAAAGACAGAAGCAGAAAGGAAGAUGAUUGUCUGCCUGCCAAACUGUGAUCAGGACUUGGUGACCUUUGAUGAUGUGGCUGUGCACUUCACCCAGGAGGAGUGGAUUUUACUGGACCCAACUCAGAAAAAUCUAUACAAAGACGUGAUGCUGGAGAACUAUGAGAACCUGACCAUGGUACAGAAUGUCAGCUCCUCAAACCCAGCCUGAUCUCUUGGUUGGAGCAAGAAGAGUCAAAGAUAGUGGAAGGAGGGGUUCUCCAAGAAUGGAAAAUGGGACUUAAAAUCAAAGGGGCUUCACUUCAGCAGAAUUUUUUGAGGGAGCAGAUCUCCAGUGAGAUACUUAGGGCAAGAAGGCACAAUGGAGGGGAGCUCUGUGAUGUAAGCCAUGUGGAGAAUUCAUCAGUGGACAUACUUGCCUUACCUCACACAUGAGAAUGCAAAAUACAGGGACCACUUCUGAUUGUGAUCAACGUAGAACAGACUUCUUUCCUUUGCACAAGAGAACCUCUCCUGAAAAGAAACUUUUUUUGAAUCACUGUAGGCAAACUUUCAGCUUGCCUCCAAAAGCUGUUUACCAGAAAAUAUGCACUCAAGAUAAACCCUUUGAGUGCAAUGAUGGUGGGAAUUGCAUAUGCCCCAACUCCCCCCUUUUUUCUUAUUUUCUUUUUCCCUCUCUUUUUUCUCUUUUCUUCCUUGUUAUUUUUUUCUUCAUUCUUACUUCCUCUAUCCCACUUUCAACCCCCUAACUUUUACUAUCUAUAUGUAGGGUAACUUUCUAAAUACAGAUAGAAGGUUGAAUCUAUACAUUCUUCCAUAAAUUACCAGUCUAUUGGUUAGAGUUCUCCAAAGUUGCUAAGUUAUAUUAACCUCAUACCCUCACUCCUUUCCUCCUAAGCAUAACACCAUAUGUCUGAAAUUCAGUUUUCUAUAUGCCACCAGAAAUGGUAUACCUUUUAUGAAACUAAUGACUAUAUUUUUAAGUAAUAA
Urocitellus parryii (Arctic ground squirrel) is the source of this 1252-nucleotide non-coding RNA. The record is from RefSeq and is a predicted model, not a curated record. NCBI's taxonomy places the organism in Eukaryota, Metazoa, Chordata, Mammalia, Rodentia, Sciuridae.